AGAGUUUGAUCAUGGCUCAGAUUGAACGCUGGCGGCAGGCCUAACACAUGCAAGUCGAGCGGAUGAAGAGAGCUUGCUCUCUGAUUCAGCGGCGGACGGGUGAGUAAUGCCUAGGAAUCUGCCUGGUAGUGGGGGACAACGUUUCGAAAGGAACGCUAAUACCGCAUACGUCCUACGGGAGAAAGCAGGGGACCUUCGGGCCUUGCGCUAUCAGAUGAGCCUAGGUCGGAUUAGCUAGUUGGUGGGGUAAUUGCUCACCAAGGCGACGAUCCGUAACUGGUCUGAGAGGAUGAUCAGUUACACUGGAACUGAGACACGGUCCAGACUCCUACGGGAGGCAGCAGUGGGGAAUAUUGGACAAUGGGCGAAGGCCUGAUCCAGCCAUGCCGCGUGUGUGAAGAGGGCCUUCGGGUUGUAAAGCACUUUCAGCGAGGAAGAACACCUUGGGAUUAAUACUCCCGAGGAAAGACAUCACUCGCAGAAGAAGCACCGGCUAACUCCGUGCCAGCAGCCGCGGUAAUACGGAGGGUGCAAGCGUUAAUCGGAAUUACUGAGCGUAAGGCGCGCGUAGGUGGCUAAGUCAGCCAGGUGUGAAAGCCCCGGGCUCAACCUGGGAACUGCAUUCAAAACUGACAAGCUAGAGUAUGGUAGAGGGUGGUGGAAUUUCCUGUGUAGCGGUGAAAUGCGUAGAGAUCGGGAGGAAUACCAGUGGCGAAGGCGGCCUUCUGGACUGACACUGACACUGAGGUGCGAAAGCGUGGGUAGCAAACAGGAUUAGAUACCCCGGUAGUCC
RNAcentral lists this ribosomal RNA (793 nucleotides) under uncultured bacterium. RNAcentral's name for it is "bacterial SSU rRNA". It matches the Rfam family "Bacterial small subunit ribosomal RNA", at positions 8 to 796 of the family's 1533-position model. The record is from RNAcentral.